AUUGAACGCUGGCGGCAUGCCUUACACAUGCAAGUCGAACGGCAGCACGGGUGCUUGCACCUGGUGGCGAGUGGCGAACGGGUGAGUAAUACAUCGGAACGUACCUUAUCGUGGGGGAUAACGCAGCGAAAGCUGUACUAAUACCGCAUACGCCCUGAGGGGGAAAGCGGGGGAUCGAAAGACCUCGCGCGAUUAGAGCGGCCGAUGCCUGAUUAGCUUGUUGGUGGGGUAAAAGCCCACCAAGGCGACGAUCAGUAGCUGGUCUGAGAGGACGAUCAGCCACACUGGGACUGAGACACGGCCCAGACUCCUACGGGAGGCAGCAGUGGGGAAUUUUGGACAAUGGGGGCAACCCUGAUCCAGCAAUGCCGCGUGAGUGAAGAAGGCCUUCGGGUUGUAAAGCUCUUUUGUCAGGGAAGAAACACCGGCUCUAACACAGUCCGGGAAUGACGGUACCUGAUGAAUAAGCACCGGCUAACUACGUGCCAGCCGCCGCAGUAA
This 501-nucleotide ribosomal RNA is filed under the name uncultured bacterium. RNAcentral describes it as "partial 16S ribosomal RNA". It matches the Rfam family "Bacterial small subunit ribosomal RNA", at positions 30 to 523 of the family's 1533-position model. The record is from RNAcentral.